Long non-coding RNA from Onychostoma macrolepis, 358 nucleotides. RefSeq lists it as uncharacterized. NCBI's taxonomy places the organism in Eukaryota, Metazoa, Chordata, Actinopteri, Cypriniformes, Cyprinidae. The transcript has 3 exons. The record is from RefSeq and is a predicted model, not a curated record.
CUUUCUUCAGAAGAUCUCUCAAUAGAGGCAUCGUAAGGCAGGAUCCUGAGCUCUCGCAGCUCUCCUUGUACGGGCACAGGGGUUUUCCACAGAAGUGUUAGCAUUCCACCCGUCUGUCCUGUGAACACUGUACACACACACACACACUCACUCGUAAACCCUACACGACGCUGACUGUCCCACCUGCUGUGUGUUUUGGCCUUUAUAUCUGCUGUCUAACAAGGUAUUAAAGAGUGAAGAUGAGGGGAGUAAAAUAUGAACAGGAUAUAGGACCAUGACAGCCCAGACUCGAAACAACAUCUCCCAUGUGAAUAUAACUCAACAUAUCGAACCAUACACAUCCUCUACAACUCCAAGG